This is a non-coding RNA of Ciona savignyi (Pacific transparent sea squirt), 214 nucleotides long. NCBI's taxonomy places the organism in Eukaryota, Metazoa, Chordata, Ascidiacea, Phlebobranchia, Cionidae. The record is from Rfam.
AAGAUCAUACUUUUAGGGAUCAUUUCUGUAGUGUGUAUCUUGAAAACGUCAUCAAAUUAUGAUAAAUCCUCAACUACCAUGAUGAGUUGUAGGGAUUCCUUCUGAACAUGAAGCUUGGUUUGUUGUAUCUUGCGAAUGAUGUUGCGAACUAUUGAAGAUUGUUCUUGGAUUUCCAUUUGGAAAUCUUGGAGGAAGGAAUCUCCGGCUGAGUAGU